AACGCAGCGAAGGGCGAUACGUAAUGUGAAUUGCAGAAUUCAGUGAAUCAUCGAAUCUUUGAACGCACAUUGCACUCUCUGGUAUUCCGGAGAGUAUGCUUGUUUGAGUAUCUGUAAACAUCUCAAAUCUCUCGACUUUCGAGUUUGAGAGAAUUGGACUUGAGCAAUCCCAACUCCUUCGUCAGAAAGAGGAGGGUUGCUUGAAAAUGCAGGUGCAGCUGGGCAUUCUUCUGAGCUAAAAGCAUAUUUAUUUAGUCCCGUCAAACGGAUUAUUAUUCUUGCUUCAGCUUACAUAAAGGUUGAAGAGUCGCUAUGGCUGACUGAUGCAGGAUUUAACAUGUCGCGCAAGCGAUCUGUAAACUCGAUCUCAAAUCAAGCAAGACUACCCGCUGAACUUAA
Molecule: ribosomal RNA, 399 nt
Filed under: uncultured fungus
Lineage: Eukaryota; Fungi
Description: eukaryotic LSU rRNA
Rfam family: 5.8S ribosomal RNA (bases 1-113)
Source: RNAcentral